RNAcentral lists this long non-coding RNA (10055 nucleotides) under Olea europaea (common olive). RNAcentral's name for it is "long non-coding RNA (OEUR_LNC001524)". Lineage: Eukaryota; Viridiplantae; Streptophyta; Magnoliopsida; Lamiales; Oleaceae. The record is from RNAcentral.
UCGAAAUUCCUUAGGCAUCCCAUCAAAUGGAUCAUCAAAUAAAAUAUUCUCAUCCAAUCCACCACACAUUGUCUUCAUGAAAUUCCCAACAAGUUGCCACAUAGCCCAAUUCUCAAACUCCUUUAGUCCAUGAGGCGUCACAAACCGAAAAUCCCCCUCGACAUUCAUAAUCUCGUGAUUUCCAUUCAUCGUAAUAACCCUCCCACCAACUUUCGCAGCCUCCCUCUUCAGUUUCUCAAAGAAAUACAACAACUUAAUCUCAUCCCCACCCCGGUCCAGAAUGUCCCCCACCUGUACAACUGUACUCGACCCGCCCGACCACCGAUCGUUCAGGUCAAUCAGACCCGAAAGCCUUAACGCCUGUUUAGUCUUUAAAAGGUCUCCAUGGAGGUCCCCAAUGGCAAUGAGGCGAGCGGGCUGUGCAAAUACAGUUUGUAAAGGAGGCAACCAUGAUGAAUCCUUGGGAUUUUUGGAAUUCUGGAUCGUAAUCGGAUCCGGAUUUAUGCUAGGUUCAGGGGGCAAGAAAAGGCCGCCGCUAACUGAGAAAUCGACGAAAGCAUCGACGAAGGAGGAGAGUAGCGAAGGAAGAAUUUGACAAUUAAUUUGGGAUUCCAUUUAUUUUUUCCAAAUUUUUCGCUGUUUCUUUCCUAUAAAUAUCUCUAAUGGGGUUUGGUUUAAAUUUGAUGACAAUUUCACAAGUGGUCACUCGAGAUCAAGACGAAUUCCAAAUUGGUCUCUGGAUUAAAAUUUGAUGACAAUUUCACAAGUGGUCACUAGACUUUAUUCCCCAUCCUCGAUAACUUACGAGCUUACGUCCACCCUUGGUUGGGUAUAGUUUCUUUUCGAUUUAUCCCUCGUAGCCAUUAUCCUAUUUCACACAAUUCUACCGAUGGAAAGGUUUUCAAUAAAAUUAUAUUAUCUAUGUAAAAAACAUCUUUAAAUUUAAAUUGCAAGUCUUUGGCUCCAAACUCCAACUAAUGUCUUAUCAAACUUCAACGUAAUUAAUGUCAUUCACCUUUGUCUAGGGGCAUACAAGCCACCUACUCCCGAUUGUCAGAAUCCAUCUUGUCUUGUCCUCCGAAUUCUUGAUCAAUAAUUUAUCCAAUGAAAACUAAAAAAACGCACGAGUUUUUCUCAAUAUGUUUACUAAAAUAUAUGAGGAUUAUAUCAGCCAAAAAAAAUCAUUUAAUUCAUAAUUUCCUGUCAUUGUAGUCAAAGAAGUAUCACCAUACAUCUCAAUCUCACUUUUUUUUUAAAGGAGUAACUGCUUGACAGAGCAGUCUUCAUUCAAUCAUUCACUCUAUUAGUUUCAUCAUAGAUUCGCCAUGAACUAACAACCAUAUUUUCAUGUCGCGUAUAAUCUAAAAUCAAAUACGGUUCUUAAAAAAAAUGAUAUUUUGGGAAAUUCAAAUUGAUUCAUUUGAUUCUUACACAUUUUUGCCAUUAAUAAAUAGUAGAAAUGUCAUAAUAUGUAUGAAACAGGAGGUCAAUUGGAGGAAAUCUUAUUUUUAAUGAAUGUUAGUUCAUGUCAAGGUUUAACGACUAUUUACAUCGAAUAUGUUGUUAACUGGGUUAAUAUAGUGAUCAAUUAUGUAAUGGUUACAUGGGUCAAUAAUAAUAUUUUAAGAACCAAUUUGAAUUUUCACUGAACAUUAAGGACCACGUGCGAAAUUAACUCAAAUUCAAGUGCCGUUUCGUGAGGUUCUACGAGAUGUUAGACCAAUAGAAUAAGGAGCCGCCUUGGAAUUGACUUUAGAGCAUUACGCAUCGUUUUCCUUGACGGUUGGAUUGUCGCCUACUCUUUUUGACGAUUAUACUUAUACUUGACUCAUCAUUUUUAGAUAUUUAAUAUUUGUAAACACUUUAGUCAAAAAAAUAUUUUCGAACAAUUUUUUUUUUUUUAUCCAUACAUUCGCAAGAUUCACGAGUAUUAUUCACUUAUACAUCGCUCAUUUAUCAGUAUUGUUCAUACGUAACAUAUCAUUUUAUUCUUUUGGAAGUUAAGAUUUCUUGAAACUCCCUCGAAUGAGCUUGCUACGUUAUUCGUUAUUUAUUUCGUAACAUAUGGUAUCAACUCGAGCAACAAAACUCAGGAGCAUAUACCAGCAAUGUUGCGAUAGAUAGAGAUCUAUAUACAUCAUGACGAUGUCAAACAAUACGACAACGUUGUUGUAUCAUUUCAGCAUGCCAACACAUAUUUGAUCAUAUUAAUAGUCAGAUCAACCUAUAUGGCAUAUAGACUAAGUACAUGCAAUUGAUCACAAUCGGCCAAGUGAUAUAUAUGCAAAUCGAGCAUGGAUAAGUAAUUUGUAACCAAGCGAUGAUGAUCACCAAAAUUGCCUCGAGAGUUUUUGGAGUUUACAGUAAGCACGAAAAACAUACCAUAGACGAUUCACUAAAACGUCGAAGCUAUAGCUGCCUCUAUAUAUGAAGAUCUAGCAAAACCACACCAGAAACAAUAGGUACCUACAGUACGAGUCCCAUACCAGAUGUGAACAAGAAAUUGCAAGGGAACAAACUAUGGCUCUUAUUUGUUUACCUGUCGCAUGAUGCACUCAGAGUUGUACCUCUCGAUCGUAUAUCCAGCUAAAUGGAAUUCUUGGUCCUUGCUUGGCCCGCCCUUGAGCUCUUUCCUCUAACCGUCUGAUUCUUGGAGGCAAUCCACAGACAUAAUCCUGAGCCUUUUGCCCUUCUGAAGAUAGUCCAGUUAGCUUUGUCACGUUCCAUCUGUUGACCAAAUGCUCUAGAAUGUCGGCAUAGUCUCUAGCCGUGUAGACAUCAAGCCGCUGAGCAACAGCUGAAAAGUGAUCAAAAAGAUUAUCAUCACGUCCAUCAUACAUCAAGUGGGCUGGCAUUGAGAUUUUCUUCCUCAUCAUGUCAGCAAAAGCCAGCACUGUUCCAUCAGGGUCGAUCUCAAACAGCUUUUCAACUAUUUUGGUGUAUGCAAUUUCAUGACGCCUCUCGUCCGCGGCAAUUGUACCACAUAUUUGAGCCAGCUUCAAGUCACCACGGUCCUUCGCGUGUCUUGCUGUGUUACCAUGAGAAAUGAAAGUGGCCCUUUCUUGGAAUGAUGUAUAGAUAAAUCCAAGGUAAGGAUUGUUUUCUGUCCGAGGAUCCUGAAAAUAUUCAAGGACAAUCGAUAGAAUGAGUCUAAAAUUUCAAAUUUUUAUAAACAGCUUAUUUGGCAAGAAUCUCACCAUUCCCGACCCUAUCAAGUACUGGAUCGUCUUCUCAAUUUGUCUCAUGUCUACUCGUCCCGACAGAUAGAGAUAUUUGUUUAGGAGGUCUCCAUGCCUGUUCUCUUCAGCAGUCCAUGCUCUAGUCCAAGUUGCCCAGGGAGUAGGACUAGCCCCAGUUUCAUCUCGCACCCCAUCCAAUGUAUUAAGCAUUGUCUGGUACGUUGGAAGGGCUUCUUCUGUGAUCAUAUCGCCAACUAGAACGACAAAAUAAUCGUCAGGAAGUUCCUUUGCUCUCUCCCGUAGUUCCUUGACAUGAUCGUGAAAUUCAUCAGAAGCAGGAUCUGGCAGGAAAUCCUGCGGUUGCCAGCAUUUUUCAACUGGCUUCAGGUGAACUAAUAUGUUUUCUUCAGCCCAGUCCUCCAUCACCUUAAAGAUCUCAAUCUUUUGAGGUGGCAUAGAAUGUGUUACUUGAACGUGAACCUCAUGUGGAGGACUAAAUGGCUUCUUGAGAGUCUCAACCUCCCUGCAACAGAAUUCGACAAAAAAAAAAAAGGGAAAAUUUUAGACUGCAGAACAAUCAUUCAAGCAUAGCAGGGAACUUCUAAGCAAUUCAUAGGUAAUCGUAUCCAGAAAUGCUAGUAUCCAUGUUGGACAGUAGACUCCUCAAAAGUAGACCAACAUACUCUAAUGUCCUAUUAUAAUCGCUUUACUAUUUAAAAGUUACACAUAAGCAAAAUAAAAUGAAAUGCAAAUCGAACUCCUUAUUAACGGAUAAGCAUAUUACAUCAUUAAAGGCCAUCUUACAGAAUCGAAAUGCAAAUGUAUCCCAAUUAUAAUAUCAGAGACAACAAAGUUACGAUUGGCAAUCAAAAUCAAGAGAAUUAGCAUUUUGACGUUAUCUACUGAAGCUGUUAAUGGAAUGUCUAAAUCUAUCUUAAGUAUUUCUGUGGAUAACUUACUCUAUAAUAGAUGGAUGAAUAGAGAGAAACAAAGAGUAUCAAUGCGUAAACAGGCAGUAGGAAACUAAGUUUACGAGAAGAAACUAGGAAGAGAUAUCCGAAAAAUCAUUUUUCCAGAUUGAAAACACUUAUCGAUAUUACAAUUGGUUACAUUAUUUGAGUUAUCUAAACAUCCAAAACAAUCAUAUAUUAUGCCAUGGCCGGCUCUCUUCAACCCCAAAGAUGCGCAUCCUAAACGGCAAGGUAUCAAUAAAAUAAUUCACGUCAAGAAAAUAAUAAGACAAUUCAAGGUAUACGUGCUAUACCUUACAGAAAAUGGGAUGAUCAUACAUAUAAAGGAGUGACAAUGUAAACAAUAACACACAAAACACGGUAAUCACGAUAGAAAACUUUGUCACAAAAACUCAACAAAUUUGAAGAAUUAAAUUUCAAUGUUCAUUUGAUUGUUGAAAGACUCAAGCAGUUGUUAUCAACUAGAAAAAAGAAAAAAAUAAAAAUUAAACCAAAGUACCAACAACAAAUUAUACCAAACAUUUUCUUAUAAUGAUCUGAUGACCAUAUGUUAUCAGAUUAUCAUUAAUCUCUUCUCAUCAGUUUACAGAAAGGACGGAUUUGAUAAUCACAAAAAAUGUACAUUAGCACAAACUAAAGAAUACCUUACAUACCUUAAUCUAUGUAUAAGCCAAAAAAAAAGAAAAGUUUAAUUUCUUAUCUUUUUUCUUUUGGGGAUGGGUGGCUGUAUAUAAAAUUUACAAAGAUUAACUAAACUAAUAGCAUGCAUCCAUUUGAAGAUGUAACUUCAUGAACCACAGGCACAAAUUAACCAAAACAAAAACCGAAUUAUAAAAAAUAAAAAGUUCGAAAGGCAAGCGUAAAACAUAAUCUUCAAAAAGAACAAGAUAAUAGAGCAGAAAACAAUUGUAUUAUCUAAACAAUGCGUUGAAUAUGAGUUAAAAGACAAGAAACUGCAAAAAUCAGAGAUAAAAACAAAAAACCCAGAUAAAGAAAAAGCAGAAAAACAAUAAUUUGCAUUAAAGAUCCAAGCUUUAUAGAGAAAGACUAAUAAAAAAAAGGCCUAAAGGAUUUAAAUAAUUAUAAAAAAGGAAGUAAGAAAGGAAGGCUUAUUACUUGGAGCCAGAGCGAAGAGUAGAAGCCAUGAAAAACUUGGGAGAUCUGUGGCUGACAACAAGUGGUAGAGCAAAUGAAGGGCAUUUUUGGGAUUGAAAGUUGAUUGCAUUCAAUUUCAAAGCCAUUUUUUUCCAGCUUGAUUUCAAUGUAAUCUUCUGUUUUCUGCUUUAAUUUUCAGGUUUUGUUUCCUCCACAGAAGUGGUGGCUGCAAAAUAUGUGAGAGAGAAAAGGAGAGAGAUGAGAAAUUGUGGGACAGGGAAGCCAGUUGGAGUUGUUUGAAGAAAAGGAUUUAGCUUGGGAGCGAGAGAGCGUGUAUAUAUAUUGAUGUUUUAAAAACGAACUCGACCACGAACUCUGCGUGAUUAGUGAUUUUACCGUCAUAUAAACUGAUGAUAUCAUGAUAACAAUGUUUAUAACCAUCGUCGAUUUCAGUGACGAUCACGGACAUUUGGAAUUAGUAAGUCACAAUUAAAUUAUUAAAAAGUUAUAAAAAAAUUAUUUAGAAUUAAGCUAAAUGACAACAUUGUUUAACACAUCUUUCACAAUCGAGAUGUGGGUCCCAUAUGAAUAAAAUAAUGCCGACCUCCCCAUAUGAGUGAAUGUGUCAACCGAUAUGUCAAGUUUUGUGGUCCUGUAGCAUGACCCAAUUAUAUAUUCUACAAAAANNNNNNNNNNNNNNNNNNNNNNNNNNNNNNNNNNNNNNNNNNNNNNNNNNNNNNNNNNNNNNNNNNNNNNNNNNNNNNNNNNNNNNNNNNNNNNNNNNNNNNNNNNNNNNNNNNNNNNNNNNNNNNNNNNNNNNNNNNNNNNNNNNNNNNNNNNNNNNNNNNNNNNNNNNNNNNNNNNNNNNNNNNNNNNNNNNNNNNAAAAAAAAAAAAAAAAUUCCAGAAAACUGUGGGGUCAUUUGACCCCAUAUGACCCCAUGUGGGUCCGCCCCUGCCUUUGUGCAUACUCUGAGAAAACAUACCCCACCAACAUCGAGUUCCAAGAAACUGAGUCCAACACAGGACAUCCAUCAAACAUCCUUCUAGCAUCACUUACUUUGCCACACACACUAUACAUAUAAAUCAAAUUGUUCACCCCAUAGACAUCACAAUCAAAACCCCAUUUCCAUCACAUGAUCAUGCAACUCUUUGCCCUCAAACUUCAAUGAUAACUUCUUAAGCUUACAAAAUUUUUAUGCUCAAAGUAAAAAGUAGACAAGUGCGCGGUGACAUGAAUUCGUGUAAAAAUAGACAGCAUCCAUGAAACGUUGAAUUUGAGAUCAAUUAUCAAAAUCAUAAAAGUCAAAUCUUGUGGAGAGAAAAAUACAAAUCCGUUGAAUGGAAACAAAUAAAGUGAAAUAAUUCCGACAGAUGGAGACCCAACUGAAGCAAAUGCUAGAAAAUCAAUAACUUGGAAAUUUCAAUCAAAAAUAUAAUAGAUGUGACCAUUAUUUGAAUCUUAAAAAGUCAAAUUCUACAAUUCUAAAUAAAAAAUUCCUGACAUAUAGGGUUGUGAUCACAAAAUUCCUUAAUGGCUCGACCAUAAAGUUCAUUGUGAACAUAUAGAUUAAAAUGAUUUUAAAACUUAACUUAGAAAAAUAGUGGAGGUGACGAGCAAAGUGGUCGUGGGUCACUGGCUAGGGUUGAAAUUUGAAAAAAGGUUCGACCUCUAACUUCUUUAGUUGUUUUGUGGUUUGUUCUCUUUGUGUGAAAGAGAGAAGGGAACACUGGAAUGGAAGAAGAGAAGAAGCUGCUUGUUGUCGCUUGGUCACCAGUCCGGUUGGAGUAUCGGAGGCAGAGCCGCGGAGGCAGUCGUGCAACUCGCAAGAGCCAGGACUGAAAUAGACAUAAAAAAAAUUAUUUCCUUUUAGGCCCCCUCCAAUUUUGGGCCUGAGGCGCAGGCCUCAUUUUCUUGAUGGCCAUAAGUCAUCGACAUACACAACACAAUGGUUUCGUAUUUCAAUUAAUAAAUCAGACCAUGAAUAUACCACAAGCUUUCUGAAUCAUGUUCCCGUCACUUUCCUUUUAUAGCAUCCAAUCCAAAAGAACAAAUAUUUUUAAUUCUACAUGAAUAACAAUAUCCAUUACAGACACAGAAAACUAACUAUACAUUCUCUCCCUUCCUAGAAGUCAGUCUCAACAUACUCUCCUCUGCACAAAGAUCUUACUUUCUUGGCUAAAGCAUCAGCCACAUGAUGAAAUUGACAGUGAAGGUAGUAACAAGAAUUCUAUAUUUGAUUUUUUUUCAAUGCAAAAAUUAUUAUAUCACAACAAUCAGCAAACUCAUAGCCGCAGUUAUCAGUAGGCUACUACAGUUACACUGCACUUCAUCACAACAGAAUUUUGCGAUUUUUUCGCACAUUACAUCCUUCUUUGCAGUCUACACUAUUUAUAGAGCAAAAAAGGUAGCAGAAUUAACUUGCCCAGAAUGCAAAACAUAUAAAAAAGGAAGCAGAACCUCGUAAGAAUAUUAUGUAAUGUAGCACAUUACCUCUAUUUUGCUAAUGUUUUUCCAUAUAAUAAAUGCAAACACUUUGCCCCCAAAAAUCAAGCAUGUAUUUUGAGUUGUCGCCUAGCAGUAUCACUUUUUGGGAAAAGAAUGUUAAAUUUUUCUUAAGAAAACCCAAAAGACUCCCUCAAGAAGAAUUUCGAACAUGAUGGUGAUAUCUCACGACAUGCAUGAUUAGCACGAGUCGGUGUGAUUACAGGAGAUUCAUAUUUAUGCAUUCAUUAUCUUUACUUUGUACUCUAGCCUCCAGAUGGAGUAAUUAUUUUUUCUUUAUUUUUUUCUUGUGGAAGUCAAGCCUAAGCCCCCUACUAGUACUAUUUUGCUUUCGUUACCAUUACAAUGGACCACUGAGUGUGGUCGAUUCAUCCAAGAAAAAGAAAUAUCUAAUGAGAAUCCACAAAUUUUUUUAAACUUAGAUCCCGAGAUAACUCUCUUUUCUACAAUAGACAAACUAGAAUGGAUUUAAAUUGCAUUAUAUAUAGAAAGGUUCUGAUGAUAAUGGAACAAAAACAGAAAAUGCAUUUAUCUUUUACAUCAAUUCCUAACAAGAUCUGGGGCUUGAAUGUCAUCAGGAGAAUGCGAUUACUUGGCCAUCCAUUACUCAUCAGUUUAGCAUUGCCUUAUGGAAGAGCAAUGCAAUCACUGUAGGCUAAGAAUCUUCUGUCUUGAAUCACUAGUCUAGAGUCAGUAUGGCUCGAACAUCGCUCAAUAAUCACAUCUACGCAUUUAUGAAAAAUUUGAAAUGCGCAAGCAACCUCAUAGGUCAGGAUAACAGAUAACAAACCAAACUUUGAACACAGAACAAAGAAACACAACCAGAACAAGAUCUAUUGAUAGUUUUUCAAAUUUUGAUGAAUAGAAGCACUUGAAAUAUAAUUGGAAGUGCAAAAGCAAUUUUACAAUUGAACAAAGGUCGACGACAGGGAUUACAAGAUUACAAUUACAUCAGUUCCCCGUAAUCAAAAGCCAGAUUGAAUGACUGGAGGUAUAAUCCCAAGAACUUCCAGAGCUGACAAGUAUUGAUGAUAGCACAUCUAUUAAGCACUAACUUCUACUUGUUCUGCUCCUUGUUCAGGGAGCAAUGAACCAAACCCAUCCUUUUUAUUAGCAUUUAAAGAAGCAUCAUAUCCUUUCCAAUACAGAGGAUUUGAUGUCAAAAUCUUGACCUCAGAUUUAUCAUUGAUCUCCAGAACCUCCGGUAAUCCAUUAUUACACCCCCUCGACAUUCCCACAUCGAUUCUUAUGGCUCGGUUACUGCAAACUCCAUUAAUCCCACGUUCCUGAAUCGUAUGACCCAUGAUCAUCCUCUUCACUCCAGGAAUAGUCUCAAGCGCAUGCUCAAGGGUCGAACAAUCACAAUCCUUAGCCAACUCUUUCGAAAAGCUUCUCAACCAAACAAUAGAGUUUCUCCCCCUCACCAACUGAUUCGCCACUUUCAACCUUAACCCAAGAAUCCAAUCCCUCACCUCCUCAUUUACACGCUCCAAUCCAUAAAAGACAUGCUUCGGCAAUAACCCUCCAUGGACAAAUACAGAAUCCCCAACAACCACAACUGUCUGGUUCUUUGACAAAAACCUUUUUGCAAUCAAUCCAUUUGGUCGCAACGCAGCCAUUCGUGCUCUAACACCAUUCAACAACUCCGGCUUAAUUCCUCGAAAUUCCUUAGGCAUCCCAUCAAAUGGAUCAUCAAAUAAAAUAUUCUCAUCCAAUCCACCACACAUUGUCUUCAUGAAACUCCCAACAAGUUGCCACGUAGCCCAAUUCUCAAACUCCUUUAGUCCAUGAGGCGUCACAAACCGAAAAUCCCCGUCGACAUUCAUAAUCUCGUGAUUUCCAUUCAUCGUAAUAACCCUCCCACCAACUUGCGCAGCCUCCCUCUUCAGUUUCUCAAAGAAAUACAACAACUUAAUCUCAUCCCCACCCCGGUCCAGAAUGUCCCCCACCUGUACAACUGUACUCGACCCGCCCGACCACCGAUCGUUCAGGUCAAUCAGACCCGAAAGCCUUAACGCCUGUUUAGUCUUUAAAAGGUCUCCAUGGAGGUCCCCAAUGGCAAUGAGGCGAGCGGGCUGUGCAAAUACAGUUUGUAAAGGAGGCAACCCUGAUGAAUCCUUGGGAUUUUUGGAAUUCUGGAUCGUAAUCGGAUCCGGAUUUAUGCUAGGUUCAGGGGGCAAGAAAAGGCCGCCGCUAACUGAGAAAUCGACGAAAGUAUCGACGAAGGAGGAGAGUAGCGAAGGAAGAAUUUGACAAUUAAUUUGGGAUUCCAUUUCUUUUUUCCAAAUUUUUCGCUGUUUCUUUC